GUCCCACUUUCACCCAAGAUUGUCUGCAUCUACUGGGCCCUCAUUCUGCAAAGCAAUGAGGUGACCAUCACGGAGGAUAAAUUCAAUAACCUCAUUAAAGCAGCUGCUGUAACUGUCGAGCCCUUUUGGCCUAGCUUCUUUGCAAAAGCCCUGGCCAGUGUCAAUAUCGGCAGCCUCCUUUGCAAUGCAGGGGUUGGUAGAUGGCUCCAGCAGCCUGCACCGCACAAGCAGGAGGUCCUGCCACUUCCACCACUGCUGCCUCAGCUGAGGAGAGGGAAGUGGAAGCAAAAAAAGAAGAAUCUGAGGAGCCUGACUAGGACAUGGGCUUUGGUCUUUUUG
This 339-nucleotide long non-coding RNA is filed under the name Homo sapiens (human). Its description in RNAcentral is "non-protein coding lnc-FAM13C-4:1". Lineage: Eukaryota; Metazoa; Chordata; Mammalia; Primates; Hominidae. The record is from RNAcentral.